Drosophila bipectinata is the source of this 1009-nucleotide non-coding RNA. Lineage: Eukaryota; Metazoa; Arthropoda; Insecta; Diptera; Drosophilidae. The record is from RefSeq and is a predicted model, not a curated record.
AAAACAAAAAGUACAGACAGUAGAGAUUUCACAACAUGAAGGUCGUUAGGGUGGCUUUGCUUUUGACUUGUAUAUUUUUUUUGCACUCUGGAGUAAAAGCUGAGCAGCCAAAAAUUAAUCUCGUAAAAAUAUCAAAAUGUCUGGACGUUCUUACCAAACUGGCGUCUGAAUUGACCAAAAAUAUUGUGCCAGUGUUUGGAAAAAUGAUUAAAUGUGUUCAGUUUAGGCCAGAAAUCAAUGUUCGAAGAGUCAAUAUAGCCCAAGUGAUGAUAAUUAUAUACCAGUUUGUGAAGAUGGCAAUGAGUGGCGACAAGAUGUCCUGCAUCAUAGACACUUAUUUAUCCUUUUCCGCCAUUACAGCUACUUAUUCAAUGGAGCUAGACUCCUUAAAGUGUGCUUAUAUGUUUGUAAAGGAACCUUCAUGCUAAAAUCAACGUAUUUUGAAGUUAAAAAAUAAAAAAAAAGAUCCAUAUAUUCUUAAUUUCCAUGCCUUUCUUAUUUAAUUUUAGAGAAACCAGAAAGUCAGAGCAAAGUUUCUUCAACAUGCGGAACGUUAGGUUGGCUUUUUUCUUCACGUUUAUUCUCCUAGGAAAUAGCUUUGUGAAGGGCGAGAGCAUAAAGCUGAACCUUGUGAAAAUUUCAAAAUGCACACAGGUUACUUUGGAACUCAUUGGGGAACUGACCACCAAAGUUAUUCCUGCAUUCAGCAAACUUGUAUCCUGUGUUGGCUACAUCCCGGAACUAGACAUUCGCAGAGUUGGUUCUUUCCAAAUGAUGAUUAUCGUAUACCAAUUUUUCCAGGAAGCAACCAAGGGGGAUUGCCUUAUAAAUGUAUAUACAUAUCUCUCUGCCGUAAUGGAUCCCUAUCUGAAGAGAAGAGGCGAACUUAAGUGUUCCUAUUUGAUUGCCAAGGAGCCAUUGUGCGAACUUUAAAGUAGUUCCAUUUAUAUAAAACCUAAUCAAAUAUAAAAAAAAUAAAUCGUUUAUAAAAGACCAAUACUUGUUUAAA